UUGUUGAAACAGGCCUGCUACCGCUGCUGGAUCGAGUACAGGCCUUCGUGCGGGUCGGGUCUGCCUCCUGGACUGGGUCGUGGCCUGCUGUCACUGCUGGGCUGCUCUGCUGCGCGUGGGCCUGGGCUGCUGCUUAGCUGCUGGAGUGGCCUGCUGUUGGCCUGCCCAAGAUGGCCUAUUGCUUGCUGGGCCGGUCUGCCACUGCUGCUGGUGUGGGUGGCCUGCUGCUGGCUUGUUGCUGGCUGCUGGCUGGGUUGGAUCCGGGUCAUCGGGUCGGGUUGGCCCGGCUGUUAUUUUUUUUCUUCUAUUUUCUUCUUUCUUCUUUCUUUUUUUCUUUUUUUCCUCAUUUCUUUUUCUUUCCUUUUUCUUUUUCUUUCUUUUCUUCUUCCUUUCAAACCCUAGCCACCGUCUUUUGCUUGGUGGCGCGACAGUGCCGGCGCUUCUCCCUUCUCCCUUCUCCCUUCUCCUCCUCUCUCUUCUUUCUCUCUUUUUCUUUUUCUUCUCUUCUUCCUCUCUUCCUUACUUCUUUACUGUUUGGGUUGCUGUUUUUUUUUGUUUUCUCUUUGCUUGUUUGUAUAGGUGCGACGGUGGUGGUGGUGUCACAACGGCGGUGCGACGACGGUGGUUGCGGGAGGAUGGUGGUGGAGGCUUUCGGCUUGCUGCUAUUUUUUUGUUUUUGAAUUUUUUCUGCUCUUUUUCUUUUGGUUGCCGAAAAACCUUUUCUUUUUGUUUCGGUUUCCCUUGGCUUUCUAGGUGGCGGUGCGGUGGUUGCGGUGGCGGGGUAGUGGCGCGACGGUGGCGAUGGCUUUUGGGCUGCUGUUUUUUGGAUUUUUUUGAGUUUUUCUCUGCUCUUUUUCUAUUUUUUUUUGGUUGCUAUCCGACCCCCUUCCUUCUCUUUUGAUUUUCUUUUUAAUCUCUUCAUUUUUUAUCCUCUUUCUUCUUGUUUUCAGAUGGCAUGGAGGUGAGGAGCAUGGCUGAUUGGCGGUGUCAGGCGUAGGGUGUGGUGCACGCCCAAAUGCUGGUUGGGGGGCAGUCUUGUCAUUCCCAGAAGGACUGAAUUGUAGAGUGUGCAAAGUUUUUAGGGCAAAAAUGUGAUUUUAGGAAAAUAUAGGGACAAAAUGUAAUUUCUAGAAAGUUUAGGGGCCUGACUGUAAUUUAUAAAAUAUUAGGGGUCAAGAUGUAAAUUUAGACAAAGUUAGGGGUCAAAAAAUAAUUUUUGAAAAGUUUGAGGGCCAAAAUGUAAUUUUUAUUUUUUGUAUUUUUAUUUUUUUCAAAAUUUUAUUAUGACUAUUUUAUUAAUAUUUAAAACAAAAAUUAAAAACGGACUAAAGUAAUUCCAAAAUUAAAUCCUAAUGGGCUCGAUCAUUGGGCCCAUACGAGACCGACCCGGCCUAAAAUUCAAACCGGGCAAAAUUCAGUGAUUACAGCUGCCCCUCUUUGCUCAUCGCUGUAAAACAGGGAUAGAGCAAAGACUUAAAAGCACUGAAUUUUGCUCGAUUGUCUAAUUUUUUAUAUUUUUUGAAAGCCUGAAAUUGAAAAAAAAAAGCUUGGUGUGCGAUCCGAAGUUCAACUCACUUUUCAGAUUAUAAGUUGACCUUUGAAAAAUAAAAAAUAAAAAUACCUCAGCUUGACUCGAGGCUCAACUCACCUCUAGGAUUAUGAGUUAAUAAUUUUUUUUUUUGAAAACAUAAAUUGAAAAUACCACAGCGUGACCUGAGGCUUAACUCACCUCUCGCAUUAUGAGUUGAUUUUUGAAAAACGAAAAAUUGAAAAAUACCUCGGCAUGUGACCCGAGGCUCAACUCACCUCUCGUAAUAUGAGUUGAUUUUUUUUGAAAAACAGAAAUUUAAAAUACCUUAGCGUGCGACCUGAGGCCCAACUCACCUCUCGCAAUAUGAGUUGAUUUUUGAAAAACAGAAAUUGAAAAUACCUCAGGAUGACCCGAGGCUCAACUCACCUCUCGUAUUGUGAGUUGAUUUUUGAAAAAAAGAAAAUUUAAAAGAAAUACCUCGGCGUGACCCGAGACUCAACUCACCUCUCGCAAUAUGAGUUGAUUUUUUUGAAAAACAGUAACUUAAAAAUACCUCAGCGUGACCCGAGGCUCAACUCACCUCUCGUAUUAUGAGUUGAUUUUUGAAAAACAAAAAUUAAAAAAUAUAAUUCUUGAAAGAAACAGGGUUUCAAAACAUCAGGUGAAACUAAAGCCUUCUUCUUCGUUGAUUCUGUGCAACUUUCUCUCAGUAUUCCCUGCUCUACUAAGAUACCUGUAUAUGUCAUGUAUGAUGUUAUUAUGAUAUGCACGUGUUUGACCUAAAUGCUUUUAUGCCUACAUAAUCAUGCCAUGAGCCCUGGGCUGUUUGUCUCAUGCCUCCUUUUCGUGAGGGACUGCAUUCAUUGCCUCAAUCAUUGACUUCUCUCUUCGGUUUUGUACUCAUCUUCAAGUUUGUCGGGUGACCCACAUGUCCAUAUUUCCCCUUCUUGCCCCUUUUGUUGAACUUUGUUCCUGCUUUGGGGUCCUUGUACUUAUCAAAUUCUCAUCCAGGUAAUGCUCAACAUUCAUUUUGUUUAGAGUAUGUCAUCUUACUAUUUAUCAUUUAAAUGAAUCAAACACAAGAUGCAUAAAUAAAAUGGCAAAGUAGGCAUGAAAGAAAUACCUCACAUCCAUUUCAUUUUCAAAACCAUCAAACAAAGAAAAUUGACAAGGAAAAAGUUCAAAGAAAGCAUCAUAUAGAAAGGAAAGUGAAUUCAAUGGCCACAAAUGCUCUAGAUAUCCAACGUAUGAACUUCUCCACGUUUCUUCAUCCUGGAUCCUUUCGAGCACGGCUUCUUGUGUAGAAGAUUUCGAGCUUCUGAGAAUGCUUCAAAUAUUGCGACUUUGUCAUUCAACUCUCCGUUCAAGUCACUUUGCUCCUUUAAGCUCGAGCCCACUUCAUUAGGACGCCCUUUCAGGUUUCCAUCCUAAUUCUUUUUGUUUAUCAAAACGCCCUUUUCAGGUUUUCAUCUUGAUUUUCUUUUUCUUUUCUUUUUUCUUUUUUUGUUUUUGUUUUUGUUUUUUUUUGUUCUUUUUGUUCUUUUUGUUCUUUUAUUUUUUUAUUUUUUUUUUGUUUUUUUAGGCAUAAUAUUUCUUUACAGCAUCUGAGUUCACUGGAUUAGGUAACUCUUUCCCGUCCAUCUCAGUGAGAAUCAGAGCCCCUCCUGAGAAUGCCCUCUUUACAACGUAUGGUCCUUCCCAAUUUGGUGACCAUUUUCCUCGAAAGUCCUUCUGUAUUGGGAGAAUCUUUCUCAGUACGAGCUCUCCUUCGCGAAAUUCUCUUGGCCGCACCUUUUUAUCAUGGGCCGUAAUCAUUCUCUUCUGGUACAUCUGUCCAUGACAAAUUACCUUCAAGCGUUUCCCUUCAAUAAGGUUUAGCUGAUCAUAUCGAGCUCGAACCCACUCUGAUUCCUCUAACCUUGUCUCCAUCAAGAUGCGCAGGGAUGGGAUCUCUACUUCGAUAGGCAGAACGGCUUCCAUUCCAUAGACUAGAGAAAAAGGAGUUGCCCCCGUAGACGUCCGUACCGAGGUGCGAUAUGCGUACAAAGCGAAUGGUAGCUUAUCGUGCCAGUCUUUAUAUGUCUCAGUCAUCUUCCCAAUAAUCCUCUUAAUGUUCUUAUUAGCGGCUUCUACUGCUCCGUUCAUCUUUGGGCAAUAGGGCGAAGAAUUAUGAUGUUUUAUCUGGAAUUGCUCACAUACUUCUUUCAUCAUCUUAUUGUUCAAAUUUAAAGCAUUAUCUGAAAUGAUUCUUUCAGGCAGACCAUAUCGGCAUAUAAUCUCCUUUUUUAAGAACCUACAGACUGUAGCCUUUGUCACAUUAGCAAACGAAGUGGCUUCUACCCAUUUUGUGAAGUAGUCUAUAACCACAAAGAUGAAUCGAUGCCCAUUGAAAGCUUUCGGGGAAAUUGGCCCUAUAACAUCCAUGCCCCACAUAGAAAAAGGCCACGGAGAAGUCAUGACAUGAAGGGGUGACGGAGCUGCAUGAAUUUUGUCGCCAUAAAUUUGACAUUUGUGGCACUUUCGUGCGUAACCAAUGCAAUCCCUUUCCAUCGUCAGCCAAUAAUAACCAAGUCUCAUAAUCUGCCUGGCCAUGGUGAAACCACUGGCAUGUGUUCCACAAAUUCCUUCAUGAACCUCUUCAAGUAUCUUUCUAGCUUCAACAGCGUCCACGCACCUCAGGAGCACUUGAUCUUUUCCCCUUUUGUAUAGAAUAUCCCCGUCAAGAACAAAUCCAAUCGCCAUUCUCCUGAUUGUUCUUUUGUCAUUCUCGUUUGCUUGCUCGGGGUACCUUUGAUUCUUGAUAUACUCCAAGAUAUCAUGGAACCAUGGUCGUCCAUCUGACUCCUCCUCAAUACUAAAGCAGUGUGCGGGGGUCUCAUAUAUACUCAUUUGGAUGGGCAUUAUCUCAUUUUCUCUGUUUGCCUUGAACAUCGAAGCCAAGGUGGCUAGGGCAUCAGCCAGUUGGUUCUCCUCUCGUGGAAAGUAGUUAAAAGUCACUUUAUAGAACUCCUUGAUCAGCUCUGCAACGAGAUCAUGAUAUUUGACUAAUUUUGGAUCUCUCACUUCCCAAUCUCCACGAAUUUGAUAAAUGACUAAUGCUGAGUCCCCGUGUACCUCUAAAAUUUUGAUUUUUCACUUGAUAGCUGCACGAAGUCCCAUGAUGCAAGCCUCAUAUUCCGCUAUAUUAUUUGUACAGAAGAAAUUCAAUCUGGCAGUAAGCGGGUAAUGGUCCCCUUCAGGUGACACUAAGACUACUCCUAUCCCAUGCCCCAAUACAUUUGAUGCACCAUCAAAGCUCAUCUUCCAUGACUUUCCUUUUGAUGACUCGCCCUCUUUUUCUGAAAUACACAUCAAAUCUUCAUCUGGGAACUCAAAUCUCAAAGGCUCGUAUUCCUCCAUUGUUCGACUUGCCAAGAAGUCAGCUAUUGCGCUUCCUUUUAUCGACUUUUGGCUCACAUAUACAAUGUCAUACUCAGUCAAUAGGAUUUGCCAUCGGGCCUUUCUCCCUGAGAGUGCAGGUGACUUCAUCAUGUACUUUAUUGGGUCCAGUUUUGAAAUUAACCAUGUCGUGUGAUACAGCAUGUAUUUUCUGAGCCUUCGAACUGUCCAAAUCAAUGCACAACAAAACUUCUCAAUUGACAGGUACUUUGCCUCAUAUUCUGUGAACUUCUUGCUGAGGUAGUAAAUUGCCUUCUCUCUUUUCCCUGACUCAUCAUGUUGUCCCAGUACGCAACCCAUUGAGUUCUCAAACACGGUCAGGUACAAUAUUAAGGGUUUUCCAGGGGUCGGCGGUACUAGCACAGGAGAAUUAGAUAGAUACUGUUUUAUCUUGUCGAAGGCCACUUGGCACUCCUCGUUCCAUUCUCCCGGAUUACGUUUUCAAAGGAGUCGAAAAAUUGGGUCACACUGAUUGGUAAGUUGAGCAAUGAAUCGAGCAAUGUAAUUCAACCUUCCUAAAAAACCUCUGACUUCCUUUUGUGUACGCGGGGGAGGCAAUUCUUGUAUAGCUUUUAUCUUAUCUGGAUCAACCUCGAUACCUCUUUCACUAACAAUGAAACCUAGCAGUUUUCCUGAGGUAGCCCCAAAUGUACAUUUGGCCGGGUUAAGCUUCAACUGAAACUUUCUUAAUCUUUCAAACAACUUCCUAAGACUCCCAACAUGCUCUCUUUCUUCCCGAGAUUUGGCAAUCAUAUCAUCGACAUAAACUUCUAUUUCUUUGUGCAUCAUAUCAUGGAAUAACGUCACCAUGGCUCUCUGAUAUGUUGCCCCAGCAUUCUUUAAUCCGAACGGCAUUACCUUGUAGCAGAAGGUUCCCCACAUUGUUAUGAAUGUAGUUUUCUCCAUAUCUUCGGGAGCCAUCUUUAUCUGAUUAUAUCCUGAGAAACCAUCCAUGAAAGAAAACAGAGAAUGCUUUGCCGUAUUAUCCACCAAAGUGUCGAUGUGCGGUAAAGGAAAGUUAUCUUUAGGGCUUGCUUAAUUCAGAUCAUGAUAAUCCACGCACAUUCGCACCUUGCCAUCUUUCUUCGGCACUGGGACUAUAUUAGCUACCCAUUCUGGAUACUUUGAGACUUGUAGGAAGCCAGCGUCAAAUUGUUUCUUGACUUCUUCUUUUAUCUUUAACAGCAUUUCGGGUCUCAUCCUUCUUAAUUUCUGCUGAACGGGCUUGCAUUCUGGUUUCAGUGAGAGCUUGUGGACCACAAUAUCCGUGUUUAAUCCUGGCAUAUCUUGAUAAGACCAGGCAAACACAUCCUUGUAUUCAUGGAGCAAGGCGAUCAAAUCUUGCCUUGUGUUUUUUGAAAUCGAAGUCCCAAUCUUCACUUCUUGUUUCUCUUCUUCAUUCCCCAAGUUCACUACCUCAACAGAUUAUUGAUGGGGUAGGAUUUGUUUCUCUUCUUGUUCCACCAUUCUCAGUAAGUCAGGAGAUGAGACACAAUCUUCAACAUUUUCGUCAGCUUCGAAUUCUCCUAAACAAAUAACCUUCUCAAAAUUGAUUUCAGGAUUCAUAACGGGAUUAUUCAUGCCAUUGAUAUCUGAACACCUGAAAGGUGAAUGGAAAAAGGAUAUAGAAGAGUAUUGAGGUAUUGUAAUCAACACACAAUGAUAUGAGAUGAUAUGAGACAUAUGCCAGAAAAGGAUAUGAACAGAAGGAGUAGUCGCAAAGUUAAUGAAAAGAAUAUGACAAUAUAAAACAAAAUGCAUCUUCAUUAAUGUUCAUUGAAAUGAUAAAGAGCAAACAUAAGCUCUUACAAAAGGAACCCUACUGUUUAAGGACACACAAAAUGAAGGGUUAACAUUGAGCAUUACUCUGAAGGGGACUUAAAAACUACAAGGAGGUCCUCAGCAGUCCAGUUGUUCAAAACAUAUCCUGGAGGACAAUGGCGUAUCAUUGAAGCAUUCUUAAUUUCAUCAUUCUCAUUGUCAAUAGCAUUUAGGCUGAGAUUCUGAAGACCCUUUUCAAUCAAUAAUGUGGCUUGCAAAUUGUUCUGCCCUGGGUACAUCACUCCUGCUGAUGUAAAUGUUCUCGACAAAGGAGGAUACGCCAACGGCCCCCAUUCUAAUUCCUGGCCCGAAGCUCUUGCGAUUCUUCUUUCUCGAUUUUUCUGAAAUUGUUUUUAUCUUUGAUGUACAUCUGGCUUGAACCCCAAACUGUAUCGACCCUUAUGGUGCGUUGGUUUCAAAGCUCUAACCAUCCUUUGUUGAUAUUUUCCCAAACCUUUCCUCGCUCGAGCUCCUUUUCCCACAGUCAGCUUAAGUCCCAUCUUGGUAUUCCUCGACAGUUUGGGAAUGGGGAUCUUAUUCCCUUCAGUAACAAAUGCAGCAUUGAUAAAUUUCAAGAAGCGAAAAGAACAUUCUACAGCAUCUUCGCUUAUUUCGAUGUAGGGUGCAUCAGUAGAGAUAGAUGCGACGAUGUCUUCCUCGCCACCAACAGUAAUCAAACGACUAUCCAUGAUGAACUUUACUUUCUGAUGGAGAGAUGAAGGAACUGCCCCAGCAGAAUGGAUCCAAGGUCUUCCUAACAGGCAAUUGUAUGAAGGUGUGAUGUCCAUGACCUGAAACUCGAUAUCGUAUGCACAUGGCCCCACUUUUAAAGGAAUUUCGAUAUUUCCCAUGACCUCUCGCCGUGUCCCAUCAAAUGCCCUUACUAUAGAAUGACAAGGCCUCAGAUAGGACAUAUCAACCGGCAUCCUAGAAAGCGUGGCCAAAGGCAUAACAUUGAGUGCAGAUCCAUUGUCGAUGAGCACAUUUGGUAAUAUGUAACCUUUGCAAUUGGUUGUGAUGUGCAAUGCUUUUAUGGAGCCCCUUCCAUUUGGCGGUAUUUCGUCGUCACUAAAGGAGAUGAAAUUAUCUGCAUUUAGAUUAUUUGCCCACCUAUCAAGCUUUUCCACAGAUACAUUGUUCGCCACAUAAGCUUGAUUUAACACUUUUAACAAGGCAUUCCGAUGUGGCUCUGAAUUCAACAAUAGAGACAGUACCGAGAUACGGGCUGGCUGCUUGUUUAAUUGUUCUACAAUGCUAUAUUCACUGUGCUUAAUGAACUUUAAGAACUCACAUGCUUCCUCCUCAUUCACAGCCUUUUUAACUUCUUCCUCGGGUGGUAUUUCAACAUCAUCCUCAGCCUCAUACAUUGGUGCUUUUCUUUUUUGGCUCGGACCAGCAACCUUCUUCUUUGGCUCAACCGUCUCGGGAGAAUAACAUCUUUCGCUACGAGUAAAAUGUCCUACUCCGCUAACACCUUCACUCACAACCUUGGACUUUUCACCCUCAGGUACAAUGAUAUUGACAUCAUAAUUCUAAGGCACCGCCUUGUUGUCCUUAUAAGGGAAAGGAGCAGGUACUUCAAUUAUCAAACUUGGUUUAACUUCUCGACUAACUUCUUCCUUCUUUGUCCCGUAAUAAAUCACCAAAGGUCUAUCGACGCUAUAAAGGGAAGCCAUUGAUUGAUUAUUAGAGGCACAUAUUUCUCCUUCUUCGGCCCCCUCCACCCUAUCAAAGACCUUGACCUCUUUGUUAUCCAUCAUGUCUUGAAGUAAUUUCCUAAAUUCCUUACAAGAUUGGAUGUCAUGCCCUUGGACGCCAUGAAAAUCACAGAAACUCUGGUCUUUUGUACUUUCUUCUUUAAGAAUCUUACUAGACGGACAGAGCAAGCCAUUUUCAAUCAUCAUCUCCCAUACCUUCCGUAAAGGUGUCUUUACUUCGGUAACACAACCUUUGGCUUGACAAUUGUCUUCAUUUGUCACCGCAUUUACAUUCCCGUCAGUAUGGUUAGGAAGAGGAUUUCCUGUCACAUUGCUAACAUCGUCGAACCGUAGAACACCGGCAUCAAUAAGACCUUAAACCCUCCUUUUAAAAGCAAGACAGUUUUCUGUAGAAUGUCCCUGAUUCCCAGCGUGAUACAUGCAAUUAGCGUUAGGAUCAUACCACUUCGGGUAUGGAGGCUUCAGGGGUGCCAUGUAAUGUGGGGAUAUUAAUUGUUUUUCCAACAGCUUUGGGUAUAAUUCUCCAUAUGAUACAGGAAUUAGAGUAAACUGAGGUCUUUCAAGAUUGGGUCUUGCCGGUCUUUGUUCAUUUUUGGGUUGGCUUUGUACAGGUAUGGUGUUUGGCGGGAACACGGUGAAUGGUCUUUGGUUAUUCACAGCAUAAACGGGGUAAGAUAGGGGUGCUUGAUAGUAAGGACUUUGAGGAGGAAAGUAGAAGUUUGAAGGUGGGCGGUAAUGAGGUCGUGGUUGGGUGAGGUACGGAUUAGGGGUACAUUGGCUUUCAGUCCCAACCAUAUGGGCCUCUGCCUCCUUUUUCUUUGCGGGUACUGUCCUCUUCGAACUCUCAGGACCUUCCAUUCUCCCACUCUUGACGGCGUUUUCGAUAAGUUCCCCGGAUAUUACAAUAUCUGCAAAGUCCUUUGUGGCACUUCCCACCAACUUAUCGUAAAAUGGCGCUUUUAGAGUGUUGAUGAAGAGGACCGUUAUCUCUGUCUUAGUUAACGGAGGCUCCACUUGAGCCGAGAUAUCCCUCCAUCUUUACGCAUAUUACCGAAAAGUCUCUGUCGGCUUCUUUUCCAUCAUUUGUAAGGUUAGUCGAUCAGGCACCAUAUCUGUUACAUGCCUAUAUUGCUCACAGAAUGCUGAAGCCAAAUCCUUCCAUGAUCGGAUUCUCUCUCUACUGAGUUGAUUAUACCAUCGAAGGGUUGAGCCAAUCAAACUAUCUUGAAAGUAAUGCACCAACAAUUUAUCAUCGUUUACAUAACCAGUCAUCUUUCGGCAAAACAUGAUCAGAUGCGCCUUUGGACAUCUUGUUCCGUCAAAUUUCUCAAAAUCAGGUGCCUUAAAUUUUGGUGGUAGGACCAAAUCAGGUACCAAACUGAGCUCUUUGGCACUCAAAGCAGAGAAAACUUCAGCGCCUUCUACUGCCUUGAUCCUCUAUUCCAGGACUCUAUACUUAUCCUGAGCGUUAUUGUCAUCAAUUCUCAGCCUUGCUACUUCUACAGGAUCAUCUAGGUCUGGAACAAUUGGAUCUGAAGGAUUAGCCCCAGGGUUCGAUACAAACAUUCCUUGUCCUAAAUGAGCAGAUGGAGCAGGAUGUUGUUCCAGGCCUGUAGGUUCCCUUUGGGGGUAUCCUCUUUGCAUUGCGUGGACAUGAGGUGGAGUAAAUCCCGGGGGAUAAAGUGGGUCUUGAUUAGCUCUUGACUGAGGCGGUUCUACGACAUUAGGGCUCUGUAUAGGUCCCUUUCCUUUGACCAAAGCCGUCAUCAUUUCUAUCAUUUUAGCCAUUUGAUCCCUUUGCUCGAGCAAUUCUUCUCGAGAUCUCACCAUCAAAUCUCUUGCCUCUUGCUGCGACUUGGCCAGUUGCUCCUGCAACUCUCUUUGGGUUCUUUCCAUCCUUUCCAUCCUUUCAUUGAGUUCAGCAUCCAUAGCUCUAGCUCUUAAGCGCGUCCUAUAAGAGUGACGUGAUUCCAGACUCGUAGUGUAGUAACUGUGGAUUAGAUGGUUUUACCCUUAGCGAAUGAUUAAGGUGAUAUGAGAAUACAAUGAAUAAAUGAAUGAGUAACUAAUGAAUGUUAAUCAUGCGUAAAUAUGCAAAAAAGGGUGUUGAUUCCAAAAUGGCCCCAUACUUGGGCGUUUCAUUUAUCAAAAGAGUCCGUUACAAAAAGUUUUGCCAUCCUAGUUCAACAAUUACACGAAUUUCCUAGCCACAUCGCCUUGCUUCUUCAUACGUUCCAAGAACUCUGAUAUGCUUGAUCUUUGGCUAGGAGGGUAUUGGCAACUGAGAACUUCCGCUUCAUCUGAUAAUUGUACUAUUUGUGCAGCCGCCUUACGAAUUUCAUUGAUCAACCUACCGAGAUGCAUAUCCUUUUCUUGGAGGGCUCUUUCAUAAGCACGAAUGUCUCUGUCAUGCUGAUCAUUCUUCUCUUCUAAAGCUCUCAAGAGGUCAUCCAGAUGUUGCUGAUGAGCUUGCAGUGUACUCUCUAGACUUCAGAUUUUUCCUUUUAGCCCUUGAUGCUCAGACUGACUAGCCGUUAGUUCUGCAGUCACAGUUUCGUAUUCAACGUUCUUCUUCCUCAACUCUAUCAUAGCACAUGCAGCUCUUUCCUCUUCUUUCUUUGCUUUGGCUUUCCAGAAUUCCAUCCCACCUUUGAUAUUACUUAGUUCCUCUUUCCAUUCUGCUGAUGCUUUGCCCAAUCCACUAUUUCUUAUAGUGCCCCUUAAUUUCUUGUUUUCCAAAUGAAGGUCCCUUAAAUUCUUUCUCGUAACUUGAACUUCUUUUUGGACUUUUUCGGCUCUGGAUUUUUCAAUUUCGACAUCAAUCUUCAGCUGGUAGUUCUCCUCCUGAAGAGAUUAAUAUCUCGCAACAUUUUGGCCUUUUCACGUUCAAAUUCAUGUCUUGCAAUUUCUAGCUCGGAUGGGGUUUUCUCUGAGAACGGAUUCUGGCAAGCUUCAUUAAUUGGUGGGGUUACUUGACUCUUCACUCGUUGUUGCCUCCAUAGGUCAUAGUCUACAGUGAUAGUAUCAGCAUAUAGAGCCAAUUCCAUUAGGUAGAUUCGCCUCCAAGAAUUCGCAGUAUCUCAAACCUUUUUCAUGUAACCCUCACCCAUAAAGGCAAACUCCGAUUGUGCCAAUCCAUCGGUAACUGGUACAAACUGUCGCGAAGCGAACUGUCUUUAAACCAACAAUGGAGCAUAUCCAACUCCUCCCCAUAAUCCUAAUAAAGGUAUCCAGUCUUGGUUUCCACACUUGUAUAACAAGACAGAGGGACGAAUCCAAGGUGCUCUCCAAGUUAUAUCUUCGACACGGAGGUUCUGAAAGACCGAGACCCAGUGUUGUUCAGUGACAUCUUUCGGCCAAUCUUUUCCAAGGUGUGCUUCCAACGGGGCGAAUGUCUUUGAAAACAUGUGGAAAGGCGUACGCUCCACCCUCCAAAAAUGGCUAAAGAUCCAAACAUUCAGUAACUGAGCGCAUUCGAUAAAACGUCCUUCCCCUUUUCUCCUACAAGCAUUUAGAGAUCUAAAAGUCUCAGCCAAGAUGGCUGGGACCGGGUUAACUCUUUGCCUCAACUUUUCGAAGAAAUCCACAACCGCAACUUCAAUAUGCCCAAGAACCUUCGGGAAGACGACCAGUCCGUAAACAGCCAAGGCAAACAAAUCUACUCUUUUUAACACAUCUGGAUGAUUCUGAACUAACUCCCGCAGAGAAAACCACGGGACACAACUGACUUCAUUCUUCUUCUUUAUCUGUUUUUCAGCCCAUGUAUCAGUCAUUCCCGUCAACUUCAUUAGCUUUUUCUUGAAGGUCAUUGGUUUAGGCUCCUUCACAUAUAUCUUGUUGAGUUGCACAUUAUCGAUGCGAAGCAAAGCGGCAUACUCUUCUAUGGUCGGAGUCAUAUCUUCCUGAUUGAAAGUGAAACACUGAUAGGCUGGGUCCCAGAAUCGAACCAUGGCUUGGAUCAACUGCUCGUUCACAUCGAUUGCUAUCAAGUGAGCUAUAUCCCCAUACUUUUCAGUGGAGAUGCUUCUAGUAUCUGAGUCCCACUGCUUCCAAAUCCUAGUCAAGUCUUCGAGAUCAUUUUGACGAGCAUUCAAAGUCACACGCUCGGGAAGAUCAGAGGUGUAUCCUUCCUUCAAACUGUCCCCUUUCACUUUUUGAGUUCUCAAAGACCAAUCUCGGACUACAGCAUUUUUCUCGGUUACUCGUGUAAUUGACUCCUCCAUCAGAAACCCGUUUUUGGCAACCAAUAUUUAACCAACACCUUCCUAAUGAGAUGUCUACGAUGCAUGAUGGAAAAUAAGAUGAAAAACAAAUAACCUUGGUUAGAGAUCACAACAGAUAUAAACAAAAGAAAAAUGAAAAAUAAAGACUAUGGAAAAUUUAACAAAUUAAGCUAUUCAAUCAUGCAAUUUGGUGGAACAGACCCACAUUUUUUUUUGCCCCAACAUGCUUUACAAGAAACCUACCCCACAUACCAUCAGACCAUCUAUCCGACCCAAUUUAUUGAAUAGACUCAAUUUAUCUGCAAAUAAGUGUAAAUGUAAAAGAAAUAAAAGGUAAGAGGCGUUUCUCCCGUGCACUUAUUUUGGUAACUAUCAAACGGACAGAGGUUCUGUAUGGCUCUACUCGGGUGGCCUAUACGGUUCACUAUAUGUAGUUUCGGUUUUAGAAAGGUACUCGAAUUGUCCAUACUAUCACCUACUAAGGUUAGUACAGAGCUUCGGUUAUCGCCCGUCAGGGCUCGCGAGCUCAAUUCGAGGGAUUACAUUUACUUAUGCCUAUGCGGAGGGACAAGUUAACUCACGAAAGCAUAAGUCAUAUGUAACCCGAAAGUAAUUACUAGCCUGUGCGGAGGGACGAGUUAACUCACGAAGGCGUAGCGUUUACUUCCACUUAAACGGACAGAGCCCGGGUAGAGAGCUCAUGUUAUGCAAAAAAUGCAAGUGCACUGUGUGUGGAGAGAAACUCACAAACCUUUUUAUUUUUACUUUUACUAAAAAAAACAAACUAAAACCAUAAAACUUAAAGCUGAAAAAAACACGAAAAUAAAAAAGGUUAGAAAAAUAUUAAUUUCAAAACUGAAUACGGAUGCAUGAUUUUUUUCAAAACAAAAUUCAAGGAUCACGAUUAAAAAUUAAUUUGAACAAGAAAAUUUGAAAAUUUUGACAACACACGUUUAACAUCAGACUCGACUCUCAAAAAAAACUCCCCAGCGGAAUCGCCAGCUGGAGCGACCUAAAAAUUUCUGGGCACGGGCGCUAGUCGAAGUAAUUAUUUAAGGUUUGAAAACAGUGUCUCGAUUUUAUUCGAAAAAGGGAGUCGCCACCGAUCUUUUUUUUUAGGUGUGAUCGGACACCUACAAAAUUCUCUUUUUAGAAGAAAAAUUUAUUUUUAAGCUUUUCUAAAAAGAGGUAAUUUUAGGUCCACGUAAAAAUCAAGAGAAAAUUAGGGUUCUGGAGUCGGUUACGCGCGAGGAAGGUAUUAGCACCCUCGCGACGCCCAAAAUUGGUAUCUCGUUAAAUGCAUGUUGUCUUAACUUUCAAAAAUACGAGUUCCAUUUAAUAUUUAGUCAUGAUCCGAUUGAAACACGAGAAUUUUGAAACACAACAACCCCUUUUUUUUUUUUGAAAACACGAAAUUUUUUUAAAACGCAAGAAUUUUAGAAACACAAAAAUUUUCUUUAAAAAAACACGAAAAUUUUGAAACAUGAGAAUUUUUUCAAAACACAAAUUUUCUUUUUGAAACACGAAAAUUUUGAAAACACAAAAAAUUUGAUAAAUUACGAAACAUGAGAUUUUUUUGAAACACGGAAAUUUAUGAAACACGGUCAAUUUUUGAAAACACAAAAAUUUUUGAAAGACGGGUUUUUUUUUUGAAAACACGAAAAUUUAUAAAACACGGAAAUUUUUUCUGAAAACAAGAAAAUUUUCGAAAAACGAGAAUUUUUGAAAACACAAGAAAUUUUUGAAAACAUGAAAUUUUUUGUUAAACUAGAAUUUUGAAAACACGAAGAUUUUUGAAACAUGAGGAUUUUUGAAAACACGAAGCUUUUUGAAACAUGAGAAUUUUUUGAGAACAUGAAAACAUGAAAAUUUGUCAAACACGGGAAUUUUUUGAAAACACGAUAACAUCAAAGAGUAUUCAAGAGAGUUUUUUGAAACACGGAAUUUUUUUUUGGAAAAAAGAAACACGAAUAUAUUUUUUUGAAACACAGGAAAUUUUUUGAAAAAAAGAAACACGAAUAUAUUUUUUUGAAACACGGGAAAUUUUAUUAUUAUUAUUUUGAAACACGAGAAAUUUUGAAGACAUGAAAAUUUUUGAAACACAAUUUUUUUAAUAAUACCAUAUUUAAUACGAAUCGAUGAUAUUCACCCCGAUAUGGCGAUGAAAUCGUCGUAUUAGUGUCAAAACAAAUCAAAUUAAUAUUUAAUCGGGAUUCUAAUAAAACACGAGGAUUUUUAUUAAAACACGAGGAAUUUUGAAUAUUUUCUAUUUUUAGAAGGGCGUCCCGUAUUUAACACGAGCCAUCAAUAUUCACCCAACAUAGAGAUGAAUUCAACGGCUUGAUGCUAAAUCGGUUCGUUGCCUUAUGCAUUAAAAUAUUUUUCUAUAAAAAAAUGCAAAUAAAAUUACAUAUAAUAAUAUUUCUAAACUAUUAAAAAACUAAUUUAAUUGUAAUGGGGAAAUAUUUAAAUAAAUGGACUUAAUUAGAGUGGGUUUAAAAAAUUACCAAAAGCCCAAAGUUAUGGGCUUGAAUUUUGGGCCUCCCUUUUUCUUUUUUUUUCUCUUUCUUUCCUGGGCUUUGGGCUGCCGGACUGGGCCGAGUCUGCUGGCCCGCUGGUUGCUGGAACAGGCUUGCUACCGCUGCUGGAUCGGGUACAGGCCUUCGUGCGGGUCGGGUCUACCUCCUGGACUGGGUCGUGGCCUGCUGUCACUGUUGGGCUGCUCUGCUGCGCGUGGGCCUGGGCUGCUGCUUAGCUGCUGGAGUGGCCUGCUGUUGGCCUGCCCAAGAUGGCCUAUUGCUUGCUGGGCCGGUCUGCCACUACUGCUGGUGUGGGUGGCCUGCUGCUGGCUUGUUGCUGGCUGCUGGCUGGGUCAGAUCCGGGUCGUCGGGUCGGGUUGGCCCGGCUGUUAUUUUUUUCUUCUAUUUUCUUCUUUCUUCUUUCUUCUUUUCUUUUUUCCUCCUUUUUUUUCUUUCCUUUUUCUUUUUCUUUCUUUUCUUCUUCCUUUCAAACCCUAGCCGCCGUCUUUUGCUUGGUGGCGCGACGGUGCCGGCGCUUCUCCCUUCUCCCUUCUCCUACUCUCUCUUCUUUCUCUCCUUUUCUUUUUCUUCUCUUCUUCCUCUCUUCCUUACUUCUUUACUGUUUGGGUUGCUGUUUUUUUUUGUUUUCUCUUUGCUUGUUUGUAUAGGUGCGACGGUGGUGGUGGUGUCACAACGGCGGUACGACGACGGUGGUUGCGGGAGGAUGGUGGUGGAGGCUUUCAGCUUGCUGCUAUUUUUUUAUUUUUGAAUUUUCUCUGCUCUUUUUCUUUUGGUUGCCGAAAAACCUUUUCUUUUUGUUUCGGUUUCCCUUGGCUUUCUAGGUGGCGGUGCGGUGGUUGCGGUGGCGGGGUAGUGGCACGACGGUGGCGAUGGCUUUUGGGCUGCUGUUGUUUGGAUUUUUUUGAGUUUUUCUCUACUCUUUUUUUAUUUUUUUUUGGUUGCUAUCCGACCCCCUUCCCUCUCUUUUGAUUUUCUUUUUAAUCUCUUCAUUUUUUUGUCCUCUUUCUUCUUGUUUUCAGAUGGCAUGGAGGUGGGGAGCAUGGCUGAUUGGCGGUGUCAGGCGUAGGGUGCGGUGCACGCCCGGAUGCUGGUUGGGGAGCAGUCUUGUCAUGCCCAGAAGGACUGAAUUGUAGAGUGUGCAAAGUUUUUGGGGCAAAAAUGUGAUUUUAGGAAAAUAUAGGGCCAAAAUGUAAUUUCUAGAAAGUUUAGGGGCCAACUAUAAUUUACAAAAUAUUAGGGGUCAAGAUGUAAAUUUAGAAAAAGUUGGGGGUCAAAAAAUAAUUUUUGAAAAGUUUGGAGGCCAAAAUGUAAUUUUUAUUUUUUGUAUUUUUUUUAUUUUUAUUUUUUUUUCAAAAUUUUAUUAUGACUAUUUUAUUAAUAUUUAAAACAAAAAUUAAAAACGGACUAAAGCAAUUCCAAAAUUAAAUCCUAAUGGGCUCGAUCAGUGGGCCCAUACGAGACCGACCCGGCC
RNAcentral lists this long non-coding RNA (16742 nucleotides) under Gossypium barbadense (sea-island cotton). RNAcentral describes it as "long non-coding RNA (GBAR_LNC018287)". The record is from RNAcentral. Lineage: Eukaryota; Viridiplantae; Streptophyta; Magnoliopsida; Malvales; Malvaceae.